UGGCCACGUGCCGACAGAAACUUAGCCUUGCGAUUAAGCAAAUCAUGGUAUUGACACGUACGUACAUGCACAUCUGAAACAGUCUUUUUCAUAAGAAGACACUUUCAAUCUCAUUCUCAUCCCUAACCAUUUUUACAGUAGAACUGUAGAAGUAGCAUCAGCAUAAUAUGCAGCAAACUAGGGAGCUCAACAGCAGCAGCAGCAGCGCUGAAAAUCAACGGCUGAGAGACAAACAUGUUAGGGAUCUGAUGGUGGAGAAGAGGAGACUAGUGGAGGUGUCGUACAGGGCGUCUCUGGCCCACACGAUGAACGCCCUAGUGGCCAACCGCGUGGUGGCGGUGCCAGUGGCGGCGCCACCUGGGCACUGGAUUGGAGCUGGUGGGUCUAUGAUCAUGGAGUCUGAUAAUUAAGCAGACUGGGGCUGUACAGAAGCACUAUAUUGGUAUGGUUACCAUGCUUGAUAUCCUGGCACAUAUUUCUGGAGAUGAUCAAAUGGACGGUGGGGAUGUGUUUGAUCUUGAUCAGAAGAUGGCGGUCCCAGUUUCUUCUAUCAUUGGACACUGCCUUGAGGGUCUUAGUCUAUGGACUCUAAGCCCUAAUACUAGCAUGUUAGAUUGUAUGGAAGUGUUCAGCAAAGGAAUCCACCGGGCUUUGGUACCACUAGACAGCCACAUGGCGAAUACAUCAGGAGUGGAACUUGUAGAGUCUGCAUCGAGCUAUCGAAUGCUUACACAAAUGGACUUGUUAAGGUUCUUGAAGGAGCAUGAGUCUGAUAUAGAAGGCAUCAUAUCACGCCCACUUAGUGAAUUAGGAGCAGUUACCGAGAAUGUUUAUGCCAUCACUGAUCGCACAAAAGUAAUUGAAGCCAUCAAGUGCAUGAGGGCUACAAUGCUUAAUGCAGUUCCUAUAGUUACAGCCUCAAAUGCCCAUGAAGAAGAUCACAAGCAGCUUAUAAAUGGCAGAGGUAGGAAGCUAAUAGGUACAUUUUCCUCCACAGAUUUGAGGGGUAGCCUCCUUGCCACACUGCAAUCAUGGUUGCCUUUGAGUGCACUAGACUUUACCGAGUAUGUCUCGAAAGGCCCCCUAUAUGCAUCUUCGGAUUCACCAAGGCAACUCGUGACUUGUCUACCUGAAUCAUCCCUCACCGAAGUGAUUGACAAAGCAGUCACUAAACAUGUCCACCGAGUUUGGGUUGUGGAUCAACAGGGCUUACUUGUCGGGCUUGUUUCUCUCACAGACAUUAUUAGAGUGAUAAGGCUUUCGCUGCAAUCGGAGUCCCGAAUGAUGUGAAAAGCCUUCUAGUGUGCUACACGUUAGGAAUGAAAAUCAGGGACCAAGUAUGUUAAUUUAACAAAACGCAAUGGUCUAGCACUAUAGAUUUGU
Quercus lobata is the source of this 1383-nucleotide RNA transcript. It is a transcript of the gene named SNF1-related protein kinase regulatory subunit gamma-like PV42a, with no coding region annotated. The record is from RefSeq and is a predicted model, not a curated record. The transcript has 4 exons. NCBI's taxonomy places the organism in Eukaryota, Viridiplantae, Streptophyta, Magnoliopsida, Fagales, Fagaceae.